AUGGCGGCCGCGCCUCCCCAGCCCGCCGCGCCCGCCCCCGGCCCCGCGAACGGCGGCGACGCGUUCCGCCUGGGCUUCGUCGGCGCGGGGAACCUGGCCGAGAGCAUCGCGCGCGGCGUCGCGGCGUCGGGCGUCCUCCCGGCCUCCGCCGUCCGCACCGCUCCCCACCGCCGCCCCGAGCGCGGCGCCGCCUUCGCCUCCCUCGGCGCCACCAUCCUCGCCUCCAACGCCCAGGUUGUGGACGGCAGCGAUGUGAUCGUCAUCUCCGUCAAGCCCCAGAUUGUGAAGCAGGUUCUGGUUGAGCUCAAGCCCUUGCUGUCUGAAGAAAAGCUUCUGGUCUCCAUCGCUGCUGGCAUCAAAAUGAAAGAUUUGCAGGAUUGGUCUGGUCAGCGCAGAAUUAUUAGAGUAAUGCCAAACACCCCCUCUGCUGUCGGACAAGCAGCAUCAGUGAUGUGUCUGGGAGAGACAGCUACUGAGAAGGAUGAAAACCGUGUCAAAAGCUUAUUUAGUGCCAUUGGAAAAGUUUGGACAGCUGAAGAAAAAUAUUUUGAUGCGGUUACUGGCUUGAGUGGUAGUGGUCCGGCCUACAUUUUCUUGGCAAUAGAGGCCAUGGCUGAUGGUGGAGUUGCUGCUGGGCUUCCUCGGGAUCUUGCUCUUGGUCUUGCAGCUCAGACAGUGCUAGGUGCUGCAACCAUGGUUAGCGAGACGGGUAAACAUCCAGGGCAGCUGAAGGAUCAGGUCACUUCCCCUGCAGGAACUACCAUAGCUGGUGUUCAUGAGCUCGAGAAGGGUUCGUUUCGCGGCACACUGAUAAAUGCCGUUGUUGCUGCCACAACAAGAUGCCGAGAGCUCUCGAAAAAUUAG
Molecule: ribosomal RNA, 864 nt
Filed under: Triticum aestivum (bread wheat)
Lineage: Eukaryota; Viridiplantae; Streptophyta; Magnoliopsida; Poales; Poaceae
Description: partial small subunit ribosomal RNA
Source: RNAcentral